This 433-nucleotide ribosomal RNA is filed under the name uncultured bacterium. Its description in RNAcentral is "partial 16S ribosomal RNA". It matches the Rfam family "Bacterial small subunit ribosomal RNA", at positions 29 to 507 of the family's 1533-position model. The record is from RNAcentral.
AACGAACGCUGGCGGCAUGCCUAACACAUGCAAGUCGAACGAGACCUUCGGGUCUAGUGGCGCACGGGUGCGUAACGCGUGGGAACCUGCCCUUAGGUUCGGAAUAACUCCCCGAAAGGGGUGCUAAUACCGGAUAAUGUCUUCGGACCAAAGAUUUAUCGCCUUUGGAUGGGCCCGCGUUGGAUUAGCUAGUUGGUAGGGUAAAAGCCUACCAAGGCGACGAUCCAUAGCUGGUCUGAGAGGAUGAUCAGCCACACUGGGACUGAGACACGGCCCAGACUCCUACGGGAGGCAGCAGUGGGGAAUAUUGGACAAUGGGCGAAAGCCUGAUCCAGCAAUGCCGCGUGAGUGAUGAAGGCCUUAGGGUUGUAAAGCUCUUUUACCCGGGAUGAUAAUGAUAGUACCGGGAGAAUAAGCCCCGGCUAACUCCGUG